CCUCCUCCUCCUCCUCCUCCUCCUCCUCUCCAACCUGUUUCCUUCAGUUCUGCCCGGCUGCCUCAGCUGAUUUAAUGACCACACAGAGCCGGAGCACGAAGAGGAGGAGGAGGAGGAGGAGGAGGAGGAGGAGG
Molecule: microRNA precursor, 134 nt
Filed under: Xyrichtys novacula (pearly razorfish)
Lineage: Eukaryota; Metazoa; Chordata; Actinopteri; Labriformes; Labridae
Source: RNAcentral